Molecule: transfer RNA, 73 nt
Filed under: Candidatus Zambryskibacteria bacterium RIFCSPHIGHO2_01_FULL_46_25
Lineage: Bacteria; Candidatus Zambryskiibacteriota
Also listed under: 2 other names
Description: tRNA-Thr
Rfam family: tRNA
About the family: Transfer RNA (tRNA) molecules are approximately 80 nucleotides in length. Their secondary structure includes four short double-helical elements and three loops (D, anti-codon, and T loops).
Source: RNAcentral
GCCGAAGUAGCUCAGUUGGUAGAGCGGCAGUAUCGUAAACUGCAGGCCACCGGUUCGAUCCCGGUCUUCGGCU